This 461-nucleotide ribosomal RNA is filed under the name uncultured soil bacterium. RNAcentral describes it as "bacterial SSU rRNA". It matches the Rfam family "Bacterial small subunit ribosomal RNA", at positions 26 to 518 of the family's 1533-position model. The record is from RNAcentral.
AGCCUGAACGCUGGCGGCGUGGCUAAGACAUGCAAGUCGCACGGGGUAGCAAUACCCAGUGGCGAACGGGAGAGUAAUGAAUCGCUAAUGUACCCCGGACUCUGGGAUAGCUACCCGAAAGGGUAGGUAAUACCAGAUGACAUAACCGCACGGCAUCGUGUGGUUCUCAAAGGUCCGCCGGUCUGGGAGCAGGCGAUUUCGUAUCAGCUAGUUGGUGGGUAACGGCUCACCAAGGCGACGACGCGUAGCCGGACUGAGAGGUUGGCCGGCCUCGAUUGGGACUGAGACACUGCCCAGACUCCUACGGGGGGCUGCAGUAACGAAUCUUCCGCAAUGCACGAAAGUGUGACGGAGCGACGCCGCGUGUGGGACGAAGCCCUUCGGGGUGUAAACCACUGUCAGGGUUACCAAGUUCUGAGGAGCCCCAGAGGAAGGCACGGCUAACUCUGUGCCAGCAACGC